GAUGAACGCUGGCGGCGUGCCUAAUACAUGCAAGUCGAGCGAACAGACGAGGAGCUUGCUCCUCUGACGUUAGCGGCGGACGGGUGAGUAACACGUGGAUAACCUACCUAUAAGACUGGGAUAACUUCGGGAAGCCGGAGCUAAUACCGGAUAAUAUAUUGAACCGCAUAGUUCAAUAGUGAAAGACGGUUUUGCUGUCACUUAUAGAUGGAUCCGCGCCGCAUUAGCUAGUUGGUAAGGUAACGGCUUACCAAGGCAACGAUGCGUAGCCGACCUGAGAGGGUGAUCGGCCACACUGGAACUGAGACACGGUCCAGACUCCUACGGGAGGCAGCAGUAGGGAAUCUUCCGCAAUGGGCGAAAGCCUGACGGAGCAACGCCGCGUGAGUGAUGAAGGUCUUCGGAUCGUAAAACUCUGUUAUUAGGGAAGAACAAAUGUGUAAGUAACUAUGCACGUCUUGACGGUACCUAAUCAGAAAGCCACGGCUAACUACGUG
This 497-nucleotide ribosomal RNA is filed under the name uncultured bacterium. Its description in RNAcentral is "partial 16S ribosomal RNA". It matches the Rfam family "Bacterial small subunit ribosomal RNA", at positions 28 to 507 of the family's 1533-position model. The record is from RNAcentral.